GCCAGCCAGGAAGGAGGAGGCAGCCAGAGUGGCCACCUCUGUUCUUUGCAGCAGAAGACCCCCUGCUGCCAGUGUGUCAAUAAGGAAACCUUUUCUUAUGCCACCCUUUGAUAUGCUGGACAUGUGUCAGAAGAAAAACAUGGGCCAUCCAUAUCUUAUCCUAUAUUAAGAAGAGUCGUUGAGAAACAUACCUUCAUUACUGCGACAGUCAUGUCAAAAAGAAUCGACUUAUUGUCAGCGCAUCUAACCUAACAAUGUUAAUGGACCCUUCAGACAUCUUCUCCUCCUCAUUUGUUUCUUACAUGCCUAUCAAAGAGACAAUGCAAGUAGAUGUUACCAGGAGAUACAUGGGGAAGACAUGGUCUGAUGAGCCAUCCAUCCUUCAUAUCAUCUAGGUAGGCUACGGCUCUUGUUUUGCAAAUAUCUGAUGCAGCCAGUACUGUGUAUGAGUCAAGAAACGGCUUGAGAGAAAGCUCAGAAGAGAAUCAUAUUGCUGGCAUUAGCUUGCUUCUUCUACUAUAGAAAUGAUCAUGGCAAUGUGAAGAGAAAAUUGAAGCCACACACACACGAGCUGUAAGUAUUUGACAAACUUGUAUGUCAGAUAGAAUGUGGAACCCUAAUGUUUAUAAACAUAGAUCAUUAAUUCCUCCCCACCCCUUUCAUUAAGGCAAACACAAAAGGCACAAUCCUGUAAAGGUUAGUCACAUAGUCGAGCCCUGUUCCCGAGAGUUGUUCUCUGCUCAUUUUUGCUAAGUUAAGCAAAUAGCUUCUUUCUGCCACAUGGCAUAUGCUUCUCUAUAGCUUCAUCUAUAAACCUUUGAAAAUUCGACAAAUAUUGCCACUUUCUAGAUGAAUCUGGUAAUGCUUCUACACACAUGCAUAUUGCAGAGCAUGGCAGGCUAGCAUGAUAUCACUGAUAUGGCAUCCACAUGAGCAAGGUUCUUGUGUCAUAGGGUUAAUAUAGAUUUUUAGGCUCCGGGGUGUGUGGCAGAUCUAGUCCAGCUCUAUGUCUAGUUUUUGCCACUAGUCAUUUGGAAAUACACAUCAGUGGUCAACAUCCACACUAAUGCUGCACACAUGGAGCCCUGAAACUGCAUGUGCCACAGCUGCAUGCCCAUUUCUUAACUCUGCAUGCUCAAAUGCAGUAGGGCAAUUUUCACCAGUCUCCCCUUUUCUGGGAAGCACUCUGUGCAAAGCACAAAUAUGAUGGUCAGGGACAUAUUUGCAUGUUUGCACAGAGACCUCCCAGGGGAAGGGGAGAUGAGCUAAAAUGGUCCCCACUGUGCUUGAGCUUGCAAGCUUUAGAAGAGAUCACGUAGCUACUACAUGCGUGCUUCUUCUUCUUCUUCUUGGUUCCACAUGCACAGCAUUAUUAUGGAAGUUGGCCAUUAUGUUCUGAUCAUUUCCCAUUUCCACUUGCAUGUAUUUUAAUGAGACAAGCAAAACCCAAACAAAACAAAAUGCAUGUGCACACUUCAUUCAUUUGUAAAGCAUGUAUUCUGAAGAUGGAUAUUAUACCAAAAUGCCCCCCCCGCAAUAAUCACAGAGCAAUGAUGGACCCAGGUUUAACUAUCAAGCAUAUUUUUCAAAUGAGCAAACUUCUUAAAUAAACAAGAAGGGGCCUCUUUUACCCUUAAUGUGAGAAAAACGAUACAAGUUACUUUUGCAGAGGAAAAAAAGUGUUAAUGUGCCAACAUCAAUUGCAUUCCAUUGGCCUUCUAUUCAUUAAACUUCUAUUGCUCUGCACAUAAUUCAUCUCAGUUCAGUUAUGCUCCUCAAGGGUCUGCUACUAAAAUAAAAAAUGCAUUGGUUAUAUGUCGCCAAACAAGGUGCUCUUGGCUCCAAACAUCUACUUACACCUAUUGACAAAGAAAAGCAGAUAUUCUGUGCCAAAAAACAAAUGAGCAUUUUUUGUCCUUUCCAAACAGGAGGCCAUUAGAGUAUAUAACAAAUAUGUUGUUAUCCAAAGUUUCCAUUUGCUGAAAGCUUUCAUACUUACAGGCCACAGAAACAUUGGAAAUUCCCAGGGAAUGUAUUGCAGAUUUAUAUUGUGUAGGCCAUCAGCAAAGCCAUAGUCUUUAAAACAUGUGAAACUGUUACGUUAGCAUGAAACUUAGAAAAUGUGGCAAUAUUAAUUCCCUUUCCCAUAGUGUAUGUUCUCCUCUUCAGCUCUGUAUCUCUGAAGGGUGAGAGUGGGAGAGAGACCACUUAUUUUUAUCAGACUGAUACGGAAAAGGAGCAUAUUGUGUUAUAUUUAUACAAAGUGGUAGGUAUUGAGUAGUAAACUACUCAAUUCCAUCUUGUCUGCUACUUAGAGAUACUGCUAUUAGAUACUUAGAGAUCCAUUAAGGCUGGAUGUGUGUGUGAAAGGCCAUUUUGGAUGCAAUACAAUGGUAUUUUGGGAAACAAAAUUCCCACGGUUGAGAAUAUGCACGCCAUGCUCCUGCACUUCAUAUGCAGCACCAAACAGAUCAUCAGCUCGGACAACACCAAUAAUCUCCUUGGGAAGGGCUGAUUCCAUGCUCUCCUCCCCUCUCCUGCCAGCGGAUGAUUAACACUGAGCCAUGUGUUGGGCUGAGCAGAACCUCAAACACAGAGGUUUGAGCAGAACCUCAAGCCCAUGUGCUGAGUGUGCUGCUGCACAUGAAGACCUAGGGAUCAGUGCUAAUAUAUUUUAGCUGAAAUGUUUGUUCCAUGAACAGUUUGUCUCACAUGUCAAUAUUUUUUUCAGUGUUGCCUUCUUUCAACAUUUUCCAAUAAAAAUGAAAGACUUCAAUUAAACCUUUUGAAAAUGCAUGAGUUUCUUACUGCUGUUGACUGAAAUACAGUUUCAAGAGCAUAAAUUCUAGACCAGCAUUAAAGGAGAUAUCCAAUAAUCAAAGCAGUGUCCAUAUUUAUCAGGCUAAUCUAAUUUUAUCAGUUUUAAAUGUAGAAUCUCCAUUCUUUAAGUACAGUAUUUAAAAAAUGGGAUGCACAAAUUGCACACUACUAUUCUUCAGCCUUUUUUCAUAAGAGGAGGAAAGAGGAAGGCAUAGUAAGAGAGAAAAAAGAGAGGCAGAAAUGCUUGCAUCCAGAAGGAAAAUUGCAAAGAGAAAGGAGGAGGAAAGCAGACAUACAUGGCAAUAAUAUAAAGUUGUUUCUGUAGCUUGUGGUCAGAGGUAGGUCUGAGAAAAUUGGACACUAUUGUUCUAAACACAAGGCUACAAUCCUGAAGCCAAUGGGCUUCCAAUGGAAUCAAUGUUCAAUCAGCAUUUUUAUACUCAUUCCAUGAUUUGAUUAUUGAUAAUUCAUAUUUGUUAAUUUGAUCACAAUUGCUGCAGAACUCAUGAUCAUAUUUGUCAUGUGGCACAGGGGACACUUUGAAAUUAGAAAAUGUUAACCACUGAUUUUAUGGAAUUAGAAUUAGGUUUUGGACUAUAAGAAUACAACAUUACUUUCCCUGAUCCAUAAAACAAUAAUCCCUGUGAUGCAUACACCAUGCUCCAACUUGAAUCAGAAUAACAUGCAGUUAUUCUGAUUCUAUGAUGUUAUGAUUCUGUGAUUCUGUUUCCAUAGAGGGAGUUGAUCUGUCUACAAAAAAAUGUGCCUCUACUCAGUUUUGUUCACUGAAACAGGAGGGGAAGCUUCUCCACACCUUUGCAGGAGGUGUUUGAUAGUGAUAACCUUUGUUUAUCACUUGAGGCUCCAUGCCAACAUUUGAGGAAAACCUGAUGAAAGAUGUGUUGCAGAGUGUGUUCUGUCUAAGGAUGUGCAUGGAACUGGCAGCCUUAGAGCCCCAACUGCAGCAUGGCCAGGGAGAGGAGCCCUGUUGCAUUGCAGCAGGCUGCUUCUUCGCUGCCCACACAAUGUAUUGUGGGAUACAGGAAGACUUCCUCCUCCUGAUUCCAUGGCAGGCAAUUGCUGCAGCACCAGUCAUGUGGAUGUGUGAGCAGCAGCACCCCAAAGAGGAGCAGAUCAUGUGGGGGAAUGUAGGUCAAAUUUUGUCUUCCCCCCAGCCCGCCCCAGUCCCAGGAGUCAUGUGAAUGACCUUAAUACAUUCCAAGCUGUAGCUGUUGUAGAUCCCAACAAGAUGCACCAUAGACAACCCUGGUUUUAUAUCCUCCACACUAUUCUGCGCAGGUUUCUGAGGAAUUAAAUUUCCUUGAGCUGAGUGGGCCUCCAUCCCAAGGAUGUGUGCAUGUGCAUAGGAUUGCAACCCUAAUAAGAAUUCUAUACUAGAGUGGAUUUCCCUUCAAAUAUGAUAAUGUUUGCAUCACUUCAGAGGUCAGUAGAAGUGAACAAAUUUAAAAUCUUAACUUAGUAAGGAGUCAUGCAAUUUCCAUUCAUGAAAGCAUAGUUGCCUUCAGCCUCGAUCCCAGCAAAGAUAUAAGCCAGCGGAGAACCACCUUUGCAAUUUCCAAGACUCCCAGUGUUAACUGAUACAACUGAUACCUAGCCCCAUUAACGGAUACACUUUUAAAUACCCCAUUCAUGUAUAGCAGCUCAAUGAAAAUAUUAUUCCAUUAAUGCUUUGCAACUGCAGCAUAACUCUAGUGGCAGAAAAUUGCUCACCAGGGAUAUGAAAUCUCACAGACAAGCCCACAUGAAAAAUGCAAGCUUACUCAUUAAAAUUGCUGUUAUUUUAAUAUGUGCUUGCUGCUGUCACUCAGGUAUUGGCAUCCAGCCUCAGGCCCCCAUGCUGAACCUGCUAGAGAAGCCAUGCACUUUCCUUGCAGUCUGAGCCUUGGGGCUCAGGAGAAUUUCUGAAGAUAGAUUUAUUGGAAGAGAUCAGGUUACAGAAUACCUCACUUUAGGUUUCCCCUUGAAAUUAAUGAUGCUAUUAGGAAUACUGAGGCUUCUUAGAGCUGUCACUUUAAAUUACAGCCAUUCUUGCUUUGACACUGCACCACAAGAGCCUCUCUAAGAAGCGGUGGUGUGGGGGAAAGGUAUCUGAUUCAAAAUAUAGGAAUGGUGCUCAAAAGGGCAGAUAUUUUCUUUUCCAAAAGAUUAGUCCUGACUGGAGCUAAUAGCAACAUACGUGUUUCUGUCCUUGGAGAAUUCUGCCACUUUCUGAAUCCACUUCAGUAAGGUAACAGGAGGAAAAUACUCAAACACCCCCUGAGUUACUAGGAACAACGAUUAAUUAUAGUGUCACAGAGUGAGAUACCUACUGCAAAGUGGUGUUCACCAGUAGUUUAGCCAAUGGGCAACAGGAGUGAACAGUAAGACCCCUGUGGGCAACAUCCUACUUCCCUCUUCCUGCCAUGAGGAAAUCUGUUUCCAUGGAAAGCAAAAUAAGACUUGGAAGGUAAUGUGUAGACACACAAAGGUGCUUUUAGGAGCUUUCCUCCACAGAGAUUCAGAAAACCUUUAAAAGGUCAGUGUUCACAGUGAUCAUGCUGGCCUAUGCCUUUGGAGGCCACGUAAGGGGGAAAAGAGAGAGGCAACAUGCUGCUGGUGGCAGUGUUGGCUAGAAGACAGAUGGCUGGGCUUGCCCUGAGGGAACCUGGUUUCAAAUCUAUGAUCAACCAUGAGGAAAAUCAGUGGGUGGCCUCAGGCAAUCACUCUCAUAACCAAAUUCACCUCGGAGGUUUAUUAUGGGGAUGCAGUGGAAUAGCCCCCAGGUACAUUGCCCUGGGCUAUUUGGGGAAGGGCAGGAAACACAAGUGUGUGUGUGUGUGUGUGUGUGUGUGUGUGUGUGUGUGUGUGUGUGUGAAGAAGCAAAUGAAGGGAUUUGUCUCAUCUAAAUGAUCACUUCCAAUACGUAUUUAUUAUAUUUAUAAUAAACAUGAUUUACUCAUGCCACAGUCCUUUUAAAGAAAUUAACACAUGGUCUUGAAAACAAGGAAUUGCUUUAUUGAGGGAUAACAAGGGGUGGGGGAGAAAAAGAAGCUUGUAAAUCCUGAGGCACACUAUCAGGCCACAGUACUAGAAAGGGGAAGAGGCUAGAGGGUGAAAGAAAGAGGCGGAAAAGCACUCAUCAUAGCUACGCGUGUCUAGCUAGGGGAAUCCAUCUCUUCGAUGGUUCAAACAUGAGGUGAGCAAAUGAGAUGCGCCCAGGCAGUGUGGGGUGCUGAGAUGGUAGGGUGCACGUGGAUGCACAGACAACAAGGGUGGCAAGUGUGGUGAAUGCAGGAGGCAAAGGUGAAAUGCCAUGUUUGAGGGAAGUUCUUAUAGGCAAAAACAUACCCCCAGGCAAGACUAAAGAGUUGCUCCUUGAGGUCCUCCUUGAGGAAUUGCUGGUGACUUUAGGAAUUUAGGACAUGAAUAUUGGGUAUUGAUUAGGUUAUAUCAGGGGCAGGGUGGCUCCCUGCCUGUAUGCACCUUUAGACAAAGAAAGAUUCACAAAAGAGAUAAUCUUAGGCAAUCACCUGAGAAGGAGGGGUGGCUCAUCACGCUGUCUGUCAUCACCAUUUUGAUAAGAGCUGGAAGGAAACGAGGUGAGACUUUUUUUAGCCUUGAAACUUCUUAUCAUUGUACAUGGGAGAAAGAGAGCUUGCAAAUUGCAUUUUAUCUCUUUUUGACCCUAAUUCAGGUCUGCUCUACAUAUCCCUCUGCCUAUGCUCAGGUGCAAUCAGAAAGGGGCAUUUCCUUCAGCCCAAUGUAAUCCUUUGCAAAUUGACCUGGAAGGCACUGUUAGGAAACAUCUUGCCAGAACGACCCUUUGUCUGGAAUGCAGCAGCCAGUGUGUCUCUUCCAAGCAGUCUAAGGGAAGAAAAUGGCUAAGUGGCUGUUUGAGAGGUACACUGAAGCACCCCAAAAUGGCAUGGCGACUGUGGCUCAUAAUAAUAGCUAAUGUGGCUGAAAUACAGCACAAAAUUUCAUGUUUUUCAUGUUUAGGUUGCAUUUCUUUCACCAUGAUGUUAAGGGCUUUCUUCUAUGUGUCCUGGAUUGAGCUCUUGUCCUUUGUCCUUUGUCCUUUGUGGUUUAUUUGGUAAGAACCUGCAGUUCACGCUACAUAUACUCUGUUGUGCCACAAAUAAAGAUAACAAAAUGCACAAGUCAAGAAACUGCAUACAGUAUUUAUUGGUUCAUGACUGCAGGAGUGAAGAGAGAGAGAGAGAGAGAGAGAGAGAGGUGCUAAUCACUCAAAAUCAUCUCCCAAAUAGAUUUUCUUCAAG
Molecule: long non-coding RNA, 7100 nt
Organism: Hemicordylus capensis (graceful crag lizard)
Lineage: Eukaryota; Metazoa; Chordata; Lepidosauria; Squamata; Cordylidae
Exons: 4
Source: RefSeq, a predicted model, not a curated record